AUUGAACGCUGGCGGCAGGCUUAACACAUGCAAGUCGAACGGUAGCAGGGAAGUGCUUGCACUUUUGCUGACGAGUGGCGGACGGGUGAGUAAUGCUUGGGAAUCUGGCUUAUGGAGGGGGAUAACGACGGGAAACUGUCGCUAAUACCGCGUAGAAUCGGGAGAUGAAAGUGUGGGACCGUAAGGCCACAUGCCAUAAGAUGAGCCCAAGUGGGAUUAGGUAGUUGGUGGGGUAAAGGCCUACCAAGCCUGCGAUCUCUAGCUGGUCUGAGAGGAUGGCCAGCCACACUGGAACUGAGACACGGUCCAGACUCCUACGGGAGGCAGCAGUGGGGAAUAUUGCGCAAUGGGGGGAACCCUGACGCAGCCAUGCCGCGUGAAUGAAGAAGGCCUUCGGGUUGUAAAGUUCUUUCGGUGGUGAGGAAGGUGGUGGAUUUAAUAGAUUCACUAAUUGACGUUAAUCACAGAAGAAGCACCGGCUAACUCCGU
RNAcentral lists this ribosomal RNA (489 nucleotides) under [Pasteurella] mairii. RNAcentral describes it as "bacterial SSU rRNA". It matches the Rfam family "Bacterial small subunit ribosomal RNA", at positions 30 to 506 of the family's 1533-position model. The record is from RNAcentral. Lineage: Bacteria; Pseudomonadati; Pseudomonadota; Gammaproteobacteria; Pasteurellales; Pasteurellaceae.